RNAcentral lists this transfer RNA (43 nucleotides) under Hemiselmis andersenii. RNAcentral's name for it is "partial Selenocysteine transfer RNA". Lineage: Eukaryota; Cryptophyceae; Cryptomonadales; Hemiselmidaceae. The record is from RNAcentral.
GCUGUGCAUGUGGGUCGUCAACCACGAGCCCACCGAGGACUUU